This 254-nucleotide ribosomal RNA is filed under the name uncultured bacterium. Its description in RNAcentral is "partial 16S ribosomal RNA". It matches the Rfam family "Bacterial small subunit ribosomal RNA", at positions 524 to 776 of the family's 1533-position model. The record is from RNAcentral.
UACGGGGGGAGCAAGCGUUGUUCGGAUUUACUGGGCGUAAAGGGCGCGUAGGCGGUCAGUGCAAGUCAGUUGUGAAAUCUCCGGGCUUAACUCGGAACGGUCAACUGAUACUGCUCGACUAGAGUGCGGAAGGGGCAACUGGAAUUCUUGGUGUAGCGGUGAAAUGCGUAGAUAUCAAGAGGAACACCGGUGGCGAAGGCGGGUCUCUGGGCCGUUACUGACGCUGAGGAGCGAAAGCAUGGGGAGCGAACAGG